Coregonus clupeaformis (lake whitefish) is the source of this 624-nucleotide long non-coding RNA. RefSeq lists it as uncharacterized. The record is from RefSeq and is a predicted model, not a curated record. NCBI's taxonomy places the organism in Eukaryota, Metazoa, Chordata, Actinopteri, Salmoniformes, Salmonidae. The transcript is spliced from 2 exons.
GUGUUUGCUCUCUCCUCACCUACCCAUCUCACAGUAGACAUGGAAUCUUGGCUGAAGAAUAUUCUGAUUCUUUCUGCAUUUUGUUGGGAAUGCAGAGGAGACAGUGUGUCACAGCCAAAACAAGAUGAGACUGCUAUCGAAGGAGGACAAAUAACACUUGCGUGUCAUUAUGAAACAGACGAUCCAAGUCCAUAUCUAUUCUGGUACAAACAGGCAACAAACGACUACCCCAAGUAUAUGCUUAUGCGGUUCAAUUUUGGAACUGGGGACAAUGCUACUGACUUCAAGGAGAGAUUUCAUGCCGAUCUAGAUGCCAACUCCAAAUCAGUUCCCUUGACUAUCCAGAGGGUGCAGCUGUCUGACUCUGCUGUGUACUACUGUGCUCUGAGGCCCACUGUGACAACAGGAUAUACAGCCCCCUUACAAAAACAUACUGAGCUACACAAUGACAAUACACCUGUCUGGACAGUAUACCACACCACUUUGAAAUUGACACUGUAACCUUCUCACUACCUCCCUGAUAAUACCAAGACUAGUGGUAGCAGAUGUUGAUAAUCACAGUGAUGAUGAUGAUGAUGAUGAUGAUGAUUAUACAGUAAGUCAUUUUUUAUGCCAAUAAAGCUA